ACUUGUCAGGUAGGCUACUCUGGUUAAUGGAGACCACUUAUCAGGUAGGCUACUCUGGUUAAUGGAGACCACUUAUCAGGUAGGCUACUCUGGUUAAUGGAGGCCACUUGUCAGGUAGGCUACUCUGGUUAAUGGAGACCACUUAUCAGGUAGGCUACUCUGUCAGGUAGGCUACUCUGGUUAAUGGAGACCACUUAUCAGGUAGGCUACUCUGGUUAAUGGAGACCACUUGUCAGGUAGGCUACUCUGGUUAAUGGAGGCCACUUAUCAGGUAGGCUACUCUGGUUAAUGGAGACCACUUAUCAGGUAGGCUACUCUGGUUAAUGGAGACCACUCAUCAGGUAGGCUACUCUGGUUAUUUUGCAGUACAACAGGUGAUAUUCUGCCCAGACUCUAUAUGCCGUGGGCUCUCUAACACAGUUUCUGCAGCUACCCAGUGCUUCAUUUGGGAAACCAAGUGAAAUUUGUUUCGGGAACAUCGAUAGUAACAUGUUUUCACAAGGAAACCCAUUAAACUGUUGACAACCCCUCUACGUGCUCAAUAAAGGAAUGAAGGAGAGAGGGGAUGAGAUGGAAACGCACGGUGGUCAGAUAUUCUGUAAUGUGUCAGCCUAUUAAUUGUGAAAAUAUAAAAUAUGAC
Molecule: non-coding RNA, 640 nt
Organism: Oncorhynchus mykiss (rainbow trout)
Lineage: Eukaryota; Metazoa; Chordata; Actinopteri; Salmoniformes; Salmonidae
Source: RefSeq, a predicted model, not a curated record